RNAcentral lists this ribosomal RNA (196 nucleotides) under uncultured bacterium. RNAcentral's name for it is "partial 16S ribosomal RNA". It matches the Rfam family "Bacterial small subunit ribosomal RNA", at positions 337 to 525 of the family's 1533-position model. The record is from RNAcentral.
UCCUACGGGAGGCAGCAGUGGGGAAUUUUGGACAAUGGGGGAAACCCUGAUCCAGCCAUCCCGCGUGUGCGAUGAAGGCCUUCGGGUUGUAAAGCACUUUUGGCAGGAAAGAAACGUCAUGGGUUAAUACCCCGUGAAACUGACGGUACCUGCAGAAUAAGCACCGGCUAACUACGUGCCAGCACCCGCGGUAAUA